RNAcentral lists this ribosomal RNA (220 nucleotides) under uncultured bacterium. Its description in RNAcentral is "partial 16S ribosomal RNA". It matches the Rfam family "Bacterial small subunit ribosomal RNA", at positions 1281 to 1500 of the family's 1533-position model. The record is from RNAcentral.
GACCGUCUCAGUUCGGAUUGCAGGCUGCAACUCGCCUGCAUGAAGCUGGAAUUGCUAGUAAUCGCGGAUCAGCAUGCCGCGGUGAAUACGUUCCCGGGCCUUGUACACACCGCCCGUCACACCAUGAGAGUCGGGAACACCCGAAGUCCGUAGUCUAACCGCAAGGAGGGCGCGGCCGAAGGUGGGUCCGGUAAUUGGGGUGAAGUCGUAACAAGGUAUC